CCUACGGGAGGCAGCAGUGGGGGAUAUUGCACAAUGGGGGAAACCCUGAUGCAGCGACGCCGCGUGUGGGAAGACGGUCUUCUGGAUUGUAAACCACUGUCCCCAGGGACGAAAAUGACGGUACCUGGGGAGGAAGCUCCGGCUAACUACGUGCCAGCAGCCGCGGUAAUACGUAGGGAGCAAGCGUUGUCCGGAAUUACUGGGUGUAAAGGGAGCGUAGGCGGGGAUGUAAGUUGGGGGUCAAAACUACCGGCUCAACCGAUAGUCGAACCCAAAACUGCAACUCUUGAGUGAAGUAGAGGCAGGCGGAAUUCCUAGUGUAGCGGUGAAAUGCGUAGAUAUUAGGAGGAACACCAGUGGCGAAGGCGGCCUGCUGGGCUUUUACUGACGCUGAGGCUUGAAAGUGUGGGGAGCAAACAGGAUUAGAUACCCGAGUAGUC
Molecule: ribosomal RNA, 440 nt
Filed under: uncultured bacterium
Lineage: Bacteria
Description: partial 16S ribosomal RNA
Rfam family: Bacterial small subunit ribosomal RNA
Source: RNAcentral